This 395-nucleotide long non-coding RNA is filed under the name Rattus norvegicus (Norway rat). Its description in RNAcentral is "long non-coding RNA NONRATT025181". The record is from RNAcentral. Lineage: Eukaryota; Metazoa; Chordata; Mammalia; Rodentia; Muridae.
GUAAAACGUUGACAUGGAGACAGGUGGCAGCCAAGGUAAGAGGCUGGGAACCCCAGAAUCAUGGCGUAGGCCUGGGAUGCCACACAGUGAGGAGUUCAAGGAGUUCCAGAUGAGGCUUCUGUCAGUGCUGCCACAUAGGACUUUGGAAGCAUCCCUUGGAGGCCCCAGAGGCCUUUGGACAAGCUGCUCAGCUUCUGUCUCAAAGCUUGGUGCUCACAGUGACUGUCCUCAGAACUUAGAGACUGGAUGGAAAGCAGCUGCAAAUGGUCGGUACCCACAUCAGAAUCCGUGUCAGCUGCAACCAAUGUUCCUCCUCAGACGGCAGCCAGAGCAGCACAUUUUGUGUGCCAGUGUAGGCAAGCACUCAUUGCCCGGGUCACAGACACUGAUGGGAU